This 467-nucleotide ribosomal RNA is filed under the name uncultured bacterium. RNAcentral describes it as "SSU rRNA". It matches the Rfam family "Bacterial small subunit ribosomal RNA", at positions 26 to 518 of the family's 1533-position model. The record is from RNAcentral.
AGGACAAACGCUGGCGGCGUACCUAAGACAUGCAAGUCGAACGGAUUGCGUAUCUUCGGAUGUGCAGUGAGUGGCGAACGGGUGAGUAACGCGUAGGAACCCGCCUCGACGUGGGGGAUAACACUUGGAAACAGGUGCUAAUACCGCAUGUGGUCGAGAGAAGAAAGGCUUGAGCAAUCAAGCCGCGUUGAGAGGGGCCUGCGUCCGAUUAGCUAGUUGGUGGGGUAACGGCUUACCAAGGCGACGAUCGGUAGCUGGUCUGAGAGGAUGGUCAGCCACACUGGGACUGAGACACGGCCCAGACUCCUACGGGAGGCAGCAGUUAGGAAAUUUUGCCAAUGGGGGAAACCCUGAGCGAGUAACGCCGCGUGGAGGACGAAGGCCUUCGGGUUGUAAACUCCUUUCUGUGGGACGAUGAUGACGGUACCACGAGGAAGAAGCCCGGCUAACUACGUGCCAGCAGCCGC